Molecule: ribosomal RNA, 566 nt
Filed under: Heringia heringi
Lineage: Eukaryota; Metazoa; Arthropoda; Insecta; Diptera; Syrphidae
Description: eukaryotic LSU rRNA
Source: RNAcentral
AGUACGUGAAACUGCUUAGAGGUUAAACCCGAUGAACCUGAAUAUCCGUUAUGGAAAAUUCAUCAUUAAUAUUAUUAUAUAUAAAAAUAUAAUAAAAAUAGUGUGCAAUUUUUCCAUAUAAGGACAUUGUAAUUUGUUAAUGUGUUAAAUAUUUAUCAAAAAAUUUAAAACAUAAGUUUAUUCAAAUUAGUUAUUUUCGAAUUUCUAACAUAGAAUAAAUGUAUUAAAUUCGAUAAAUCAUUGACAGAUUUUAUUAUAUAUAAUGCUUAAAUUCUUUUUGAAUUUUAUAAUUAUUUUUAUUAAUUAAUAAUAAUUAUAUGCAUUUAUAUGAUUAACAAUGCGAUAGAUUCAGGAUACCUUCGGGACCCGUCUUGAAACACGGACCAAGGAGUCUAACAUAUGUGCAAGUCAUUGGGUAUUUUUAAUAAAACCCAAUGGCAUAAUUAACUUAACUGUUAUUUAAUGGGAUUAGUUUGUAUAUUAUUAUGAUAUAUAAAUUCAAUCCCGGGGCGUUCUAUAUAGUUAUGCAUAAUAAUAUUUAUAUUAUUUAUGCCUCUAACUAGAGC